Non-coding RNA from Monodelphis domestica (gray short-tailed opossum), 1555 nucleotides. The record is from RefSeq and is a predicted model, not a curated record. NCBI's taxonomy places the organism in Eukaryota, Metazoa, Chordata, Mammalia, Didelphimorphia, Didelphidae.
UUUUCCUGGUAGUUUGGCUGUGACAAGGAAUAGAGAGCCCUUGAGAGAAGGGCAGGACCAAGUGAAAGCCUUUGGUUUUUCAUUUUUGUUUUCAAAGAAUGGCAAAAACCUGCAUAUAAUACCAAUGGGGGAUCAGAAGUCAGUGGAUAAGGAGAGAUUGAAGAUGAGAGGAAAAGACCAAAAAGGCAGUCCUCUGAAAGAGAUGGGUAGGGAAGGGAUUGAGAGUCAAAGUAGAAAUGUUAGCCCCGGCACAGAAGGCCCAGCUGUUCCCUAGAGCCUGGAGGAAAGGAGGUGAUGAAGAGAGAGGGCCAGAGUAGGAGAGUCAACCUUCCAUCUUUUUAGAAAAUCUCUUUCCCUGAUUAUGAUGUUGUAGAGUUAUUUCAAUCAUGUCCAACUCUUUGUGAUACCAUUUUGGGGUGUUUUUUGAGGGGCACAGAUUCUAGAGUGCUUUGCCAUUUCCUUCUCCAGGUUAUUUUGCAGAUGAGUAUCCGAAGCAAACAGGGCUAUGCAGCUUACCCAGGAUCAGACAGCUAUUUACAGAUUGGUUUACAUGGCUACUACAAUCCUUCUUGAUGCUCACAUCUAUAAUUCUAUGAAGAAUUUUGAUAUUUAAACCUGAAGUUUGUUUACCAUAAUCAGAAGCUUUAUGUCCUUUUGAAGCACAAUGGUCUAGGACAAUGAAGUUCUCUUUUGUAGAGUUCAUCACUACAGAGGCAUACUGAUUUGAUUCGCUAGCAAAAAAGAUCUGUUGUUGAAGUUACCAGCUGUGUAUUCAGAGGACUGAGCAUGAAGCAUGACCUCCCUCCCCUUGGCAAAGAGGUGGUAACUACAGGGCCAUUACAUAUAAUAAAAAGCAGUUGUUAAAAAACAAGAAAAGAAGAGGAAAAAAGUUAACAUACUGAAAGAUAUCUGAAUAUAUGUGCAACAUUUGUGGACCUUUGACCUCUACAAAGAGGAAUAUAUGAGCAGAGAUUCAGUCCUGGGAUUUGACCGUCUGAAGGGCAAUGAAGACAAAUAUGCUCUCAGGCAGAACUGAACAUUGAAAGCCAAAUGGGAAAAGACAAGUUAUGCAAAUUAUUUAGGAGCCUCAGAAAGGACUUUAAUGGAUUUGCAAAUGGAGCACAUCAAGAAGAUAUUAAAGCAACUUUUAAUAUAAAUGUUAGAAGGAGGAAAUCACUAAAUCUUGAAACCUGGAAAACAUUGUUAAAGGUUGCACUGUCAAAUGCAGACAUCAAAGAGGCUACUUGAUUCCAGGGUCAAAGUAAGCUUUAACCUGUUGAAGCCAGUAUUAUGAUUUCUCUGGAAACUCCUCAUUGUGGGAUCUGGAACCUGUUGUUCUGAUCAGAUGACCAGCCUCCUCAGUUUUCACUAUGGACUUGUUUAUUUUGUAAAACAAGUUAUGUCAAGAGGCUCUGCCUUCUAUGAGACACCCUCUCACCUGAAGUGUAUUGAAACCCUGCCCUUACUGGCCCUCCCAGGCACUCUAGUACUUUGGUGCUGUCUUAAGUUCUGACUUGCAAUUCUUUUGCCUUGAUUAAAGACCUUUGUUUUGAAA